UUCUUUAAAUAUUGGUCAGAAUUUAGCAUGAUCCUUGCUAUUGCUGUGAUUUUAGACCCUCGUUUCAAGCUUUAUUUUGUGGCUUUUAGUUACACUAAGAUUUAUGGGUAUGAUUCUAGAGAGAUCAAAAAGGUCCGUGAUAACUUGUUUAGUCUCUUUAAUGAGUAUUUGCAUGAUUCUCCUUCUCCUAUGAGCACAAAAGCCAUUUCACAAACAGUUGGAAGUUGUUCUUAUGAAAGAGAAGAAGCACUUUGGACAAAAGAGAGUAGAGAUAUCAUGCAGGAAUUUGAUAGUUUUGAAAGUGAUGAAUUUGCUAGUGCUUAAAAAUCAUAAUUAGAAUUGUAUUUGGAUGAGCCAAAGGUUGAUAGGAAAGUAGACCUUGAUGUGCUUGUAUAUUGGAAGGCCAACCAGUUCAGGUAUCCAGUACUUUCUCGUAUGGCUCGAGAUGUAUUAAGCAUUCCAGUGUCUACGGUUGCUUCCGAGCCUGCUUUUAGUGUUGGUGGUUGAAUUCUUGAUCAAUUCCGUAGUUGUCUUAAACCUGAGAAUGUGGAGGCUUUGGUUUGCACAAGAGAUUGGUUAUUUAAUAUAAAAGAGAGCAUGCAACUUCAAUUGGAUGACCUUGUUGUGGAGUUUGAUGAUUUGACCAUGAGUAAUAAAGAGGGCGUUCCUUCAGCACAAUGUUUAAACACUUGUGCUGAUAUGGUUCAAUAAGCUCUCUAUUUGGUGAAACUUUUUUUGUGCUACUACUAUUUUGGAAGUUAUCUUUUGAUCAUGCCUUCUUCAUUGAAGCCAGUGAAUAUCCUUUUUGGUGGUUUUGGUUAACAAAGAGCAUAUGCUUGGAAGUGAUCCUUUUGUUAGUAAUCUGCAUAUGACAAAGAACAAUAUGAUUCUACUGAACUACG
Long non-coding RNA from Cornus florida, 902 nucleotides. RefSeq lists it as uncharacterized. The transcript has 4 exons. The record is from RefSeq and is a predicted model, not a curated record. NCBI's taxonomy places the organism in Eukaryota, Viridiplantae, Streptophyta, Magnoliopsida, Cornales, Cornaceae.